This 419-nucleotide ribosomal RNA is filed under the name bacterium. RNAcentral's name for it is "partial 16S ribosomal RNA". It matches the Rfam family "Bacterial small subunit ribosomal RNA", at positions 355 to 776 of the family's 1533-position model. The record is from RNAcentral.
UGGGGGAUAUCGCACAAUGGGCGAAAGCCUGAUGCAGCGACGCCGCGUGGGGGAUGAAGGCCUUCGGGUUGUAAACUUCUUUUGCUCUGAACAAGGCGCACCAUGGGGUGUGUUGAGUGUAGGGGUUGAUUAGCGCCGGCUAACUACGUGCCAGCAGCCGCGGUAAUACGUAGGGCGCGAGCGUUGUCCGGAAUUAUUGGGCGUAAAGGGCUUGUAGGUGGCUGGUUGCGUCUGUCGUGAAAGCUCAUGGCUUAACUGUGGGUUUGCGGUGGGUACGGGCUGGCUUGAGUGCAGUAGGGGAGGCUGGAAUUCCUGGUGUAGCGGUGGAAUGCGCAGAUAUCAGGAGGAAUACCGGUGGCGAAGGCGGGUCUCUGGGCUGUUACUGACACUGAGGAGCGAAAGCAUGGGGAGCGAACAGG